Molecule: long non-coding RNA, 675 nt
Filed under: Pongo abelii (Sumatran orangutan)
Lineage: Eukaryota; Metazoa; Chordata; Mammalia; Primates; Hominidae
Description: lincRNA
Source: RNAcentral
GGUUUGGUUAUGUUGCCCAGGCUGGUCUCAAACUCCUGAGCUCAAGCGAUCUACCUGCCUCAGUCUCCCAAGGUGCUGGGAUUACAGGUGUGAGCCAUUGUGCUCAGCCUGGUCAUCAUCAUUUCUAUCACCAGAUACCGAAACUGGCAACACCCAGAGAUAUUUCCCUCCUAGUCAUAAAGGAAGCCAGUAGCAGAGCCAGAAAUAAUAUUCAAAUUCUGGAUCCACUAGACCAUAUUGCCUGUCUGACAAAGUAUAUGCUUACUUCCUGCUUCAGUUCUAUAAGGUACCCACAAUGCCGGGUUCUCUGCCCACUGGGAGCAAACAAGGGAACGUGCAGACACUGGACAGCAUACGAUGGAUGCCUGCAACUCCCAUACCUGCCCCUGACUGCCUCCAGAAAUAUGCUGUCUCUACUGAAACAGCUUUUCCAACCCUGAGCACGUUUAGUGAACACGGAAAAGAGUGUAAAGGGGUCAAAUGCAGACUUUACAAAAAGAAACCCAAGAUGGAGAUUCCUGUUUGGGAUAUACUGCAGGUGGGGUUCAUAACAACAUAGUCCUUCACUUGCCAAGUAAUCCGAAAGCAACUAAUUAGAGAACCUGUAAGGGAUGCCAAUCCCAGUUUUCAAAAUGGCAUUUCAAGGAAAUUAAAUCUUAUCAUGUAAAUAGGUCA